AGCGAACGCUAGCGGGUGGCUUAACACAUGCAAGUCGAGCGAAGACUUCGGUCUUAGCGGCGAACGGGUGAGUAACACGUAGGGUAGCUACCCUUUGGUGAGGGAUAACUCGGGGAAACCCAAGCUAAUACCACAUGUGGCCUACGGGUCAAAGGCUUCGGCCGCCAGAGGAGGUUCCUGCGUCCCAUUAUUUAAUCCUAGUUGGUAGGGUAACGGCCUACCAAGGGUACGAUGGGUAGCUGUUCUGAGAGGAAGAUCAGCCACACUGGGACUGAGACACGGCCCAG
This 287-nucleotide ribosomal RNA is filed under the name uncultured bacterium. Its description in RNAcentral is "partial 16S ribosomal RNA". It matches the Rfam family "Bacterial small subunit ribosomal RNA", at positions 29 to 334 of the family's 1533-position model. The record is from RNAcentral.